GUCUACGGCCAUGCCACCCUGAACAAUCUCAAUCACGUCUGAUCUCGGAAGCUAAGCAGGGUCAGGCCUGGUUAGUACCUGGAUGAGAGACCACCUAGGAAGACCAGGUGCUGUAGAUG
RNAcentral lists this ribosomal RNA (119 nucleotides) under Pteropus alecto (black flying fox). The record is from RNAcentral. Lineage: Eukaryota; Metazoa; Chordata; Mammalia; Chiroptera; Pteropodidae.